UGGUCAUUUAGAGGAAGUAAAAGUCGUAACAAGGUUUCCGUAGGUGAACCUGCGGAAGGAUCAUUACCUAGAGUUUGUAGACUUCGGUCUGCUACCUCUUACCCAUGUCUUUUGAGUACCUUCGUUUCCUCGGCGGGUCCGCCCGCCGAUUGGACAACAUUCAAACCCUUUGCAGUUGCAAUCAGCGUCUGAAAAAACAUAAUAGUUACAACUUUCAACAACGGAUCUCUUGGUUCUGGCAUCGAUGAAGAACGCAGCGAAAUGCGAUAAGUAGUGUGAAUUGCAGAAUUCAGUGAAUCAUCGAAUCUUUGAACGCACAUUGCGCCCCUUGGUAUUCCAUGGGGCAUGCCUGUUCGAGCGUCAUUUGUACCUUCAAGCUCUGCUUGGUGUUGGGUGUUUUGUCUCGCCUCUGCGUGUAGACUCGCCUUAAAACAAUUGGCAGCCGGCGUAUUGAUUUCGGAGCGCAGUACAUCUCGCGCUUUGCACUCAUAACGGCGACGUCCAAAAGUACAUUUUUACACUCUUGACCUCGGAUCAGGUAGGGAUACCCGCUGAACUUAAGCAUAUCAAUAAGCGGAGGA
This 581-nucleotide ribosomal RNA is filed under the name uncultured fungus. RNAcentral describes it as "eukaryotic LSU rRNA". The stretch from base 210 to 363 matches the Rfam family "5.8S ribosomal RNA". The record is from RNAcentral. Lineage: Eukaryota; Fungi.